GCUUAGACCGGUCUCUGGCAUACUGUAAUUACUGAUUAAUUAGCUGCAACACAAACAUCAGGUGACGCUAUGGUCUGCUGUGUGUCCCUCCCACCAAAACAAUUCCUAUGUUGAAGCCCUAACCCCCAAUGUGACUGUAUUUGGAGACAAGACUUUUAGGAGGCAAUUAAGGUUAAGUGAGGUGGUAAAGGUGGGGUUCUAAUCCAAUAGGAUUGGUGGCCUUGUGGAAGAGAAAGAGCUAGAUUGAGCUCUCUGUGCGUACCCACCAAAGAAAGGCCAUUGAACACCCAGUGAGAUGGUGGCCAUCUGCAAGCCAGGAAGAGAGCUGUCAACACAACCGAGUCAGCCGCAACUUUGACCAGGGUCUUCCAGCCUCCACCACUGGGAGAAAGUAAACGUCUGUUGUUUAAGCUGCCCACUCUACAGUAUUUUGUUAUGGCAGCCGGAGCAGACUAAUCCAGUGACCCAGUGCUAGACACAGUGCUCUGUGACUGGCGGAUGGAUACGUGCAGGCGGAUGGAUACCUCCAGUGCUCAGAGAUAGACACUCGCGCUAUAGCAAGGUGGAAUUCUGAGGGACUCACGCAAGAGGUCACAGCGGAAGUCUGAACACUUACUGCAGUUGGACCUGAGAUCUUGGAGAGGCCUUCUAUGGGCAGCUACCAGGCAUUCUCAGCAGGGAGGUGACAGCGUGGAAACUUAGAAGUGAACAGAACAUCCAGUUUGUUCUCAUAACAACACAAUGUUAGUUUGUACCACGUGUGCUACACAGUACCUAGAAGUCUUCUGGUAACUGCCAAAGCAGUAAAGAAAAUUCCUGAUCCUAUGCCUGAGAGAACUGGAUUUUAAUUCUUCUAUUGUAAAAGAUUUGCUGCCCUAAUGUAGAUUUAUUAAUGCACUACAAAGAUGGGAAGGUUUUUGUUUUUAAUAUAUAGUGUGAGAAUUCAGAGUUCCCAAUACUUUGACUCACACUUUCUCUUUCAUUUUCCGAAGAAUCCAGUUCAACCCCAGUAAUCAUUUAAACAUCGUCCUCUGUUGCUUUCUGGUCAAUCAUCUUCUAUUGCCUCCGUCUCUUGCAGUCAGGGCUCUUUGUAGCUGACAUCUUUUGAAAGUAAUAAUUUCUUACCAGAAGUUCUU
This 1136-nucleotide long non-coding RNA is filed under the name Equus asinus (donkey). RNAcentral's name for it is "lncRNA (ENSEASG00005024753.1)". The record is from RNAcentral. Lineage: Eukaryota; Metazoa; Chordata; Mammalia; Perissodactyla; Equidae.